GACGAACGCUGGCGGCGUGCUUAACACAUGCAAGUCGAACGGAAAGGCCCUGCUUUUGUGGGGUGCUCGAGUGGCGAACGGGUGAGUAACACGUGAGUAACCUGCCCUUGACUUUGGGAUAACUUCAGGAAACUGGGGCUAAUACCGGAUAGGAGCUCCUGCUGCAUGGUGGGGGUUGGAAAGUUUCGGCGGUUUGGGAUGGACUCGCGGCUUAUCAGCUUGUUGGUGAGGUAGUGGCUUACCAAGGCUUUGACGGGUAGCCGGCCUGAGAGGGUGACCGGCCACAUUGGGCCUAAGGUACGGCGCAGAAUCCUACGGGAGGCAGAGGUGGGAAAUAUUGCACAAUGGGGGGGAGCCUGAUGCGACGACGCCGCGUGCGGGAUGACGGCCUUCGGGUUGUAAACCGCUUUCGACUGUAACGAAGCGUGAGUGACGGUAAUGGGUAAAGAAGCACCGGCUAACUACGUG
Molecule: ribosomal RNA, 468 nt
Filed under: uncultured bacterium
Lineage: Bacteria
Description: partial 16S ribosomal RNA
Rfam family: Bacterial small subunit ribosomal RNA
Source: RNAcentral